GCCGAAGGCAAUACAGGCAGUCCCCGGGUUACGUACGAGUUCCCAUUCCGGAGUCCGUCUUUAAGUCAGAUUUGUAUGGCAGCUCAGUGGCACAUCUACUAUAGCCACUGCCUCACAGCGACGGAGACGCAGGUUCAAUCCCGACCUUGGGUCCUGUCCAUGUGGUGUUUGUAUUUUCUCCCUGUGACUGCAUGAGUUUCCUCUGGGUGCUGUUUUCCUCCCACGUCCCAAAAGAGGUGCAAGUUGUACUGCAGAUCGAGGAUCACUUUCCACACACUGUCUGUUGCAAGGUAGCUGAUGAAGCCAAUGUUGUAGAGCAACAAAUCAGUCUGAACGAAGGAAGAGAGA
Long non-coding RNA from Hypanus sabinus (Atlantic stingray), 348 nucleotides. RefSeq lists it as uncharacterized. The transcript has 3 exons. Lineage: Eukaryota; Metazoa; Chordata; Chondrichthyes; Myliobatiformes; Dasyatidae. The record is from RefSeq and is a predicted model, not a curated record.